GUGGGUUAUUCUAUUAUUGUUUCAAUAUAUUAGGUGUCACUUUUGACUUACAGCCUCUACUUACGAUCACAACUAUUUACUCUUUAUUUUAUGACACGCUUGAAUGGCUUGCUUCUCUGCAACCUUUUUUAGUUCCUUUUCAUUGCAACAAAAGACUAUAGAUUAAGCCAAUAAUAACUUGCACAUAAUUAAUAAAUGAUUAAGUUACAACAGUAGAAGUUAAUUCUAAAUAUUCUUUCAUGGAUUGAAAUCGUGGAGAGGCUCUCCACCAUGGGAAUGGCAGUUAACUGCUAACUUACGUGAUCUCAGUCACGCAUCUGCCAAGCUCAACUGCAGUCAAUACUGGACUGACUUCAUGGGGACAUCAUUUCAAGGUUGUAUUGGAAUUAUCGAACGGAUUCGUUAACUGACUUUGACAUUGAAAAACUUUUUCCGAACUUAAACGAAGGAAGACGGAAAGAACAGUCAGUAGAAAAAAGAAAUUGUGAAGAGAUUAGGUGGCUCGACCUCACCGGAACAAAACUCCAAAU
This 530-nucleotide long non-coding RNA is filed under the name Vigna radiata. RNAcentral describes it as "long non-coding RNA (VRAD_LNC010554)". The record is from RNAcentral. Lineage: Eukaryota; Viridiplantae; Streptophyta; Magnoliopsida; Fabales; Fabaceae.